RNAcentral lists this ribosomal RNA (253 nucleotides) under uncultured bacterium. RNAcentral describes it as "partial 16S ribosomal RNA". It matches the Rfam family "Bacterial small subunit ribosomal RNA", at positions 524 to 776 of the family's 1533-position model. The record is from RNAcentral.
GACAGAGGCCUCGAUCGUUAGGCGGAAUCACUGGGCUUAAAGCGUGUGUAGGCGGAUCGUUAAGUACCUUGUGAAAUCCCACGGCUCAACCGUGGAACGGCUGGGUAUACUGGCGGUCUUGGGCCAUUCAGGGGCGACUGGAACAAGCGGUGGAGCGGUGAAAUGCGUAGAUAUCGCUUGGAACGCCGAAGGUGAAAACAGGUCGCUGGGGAUGUGCCGACGCUGAGACACGAAAGCCAGGGGAGCAAACGGG